RNAcentral lists this transfer-messenger RNA (369 nucleotides) under Naumannella halotolerans. RNAcentral's name for it is "Standard tmRNA". It matches the Rfam family "transfer-messenger RNA". From Rfam's summary of the family: Bacterial tmRNA, also known as 10Sa RNA or SsrA, is named for its dual tRNA and mRNA-like properties. Its role is to liberate the mRNA from a stalled ribosome. To accomplish this part of the tmRNA is used as a reading frame that ends in a translation stop signal. The record is from Rfam by way of RNAcentral. Lineage: Bacteria; Bacillati; Actinomycetota; Actinomycetes; Propionibacteriales; Propionibacteriaceae.
GGGGGUGAUCGGUUUCGACUUGGGGCGGUAGUCCCAGGGGAAGCGGGCCGAGGAUCCAAGGUCAACUCGUUGAUGCUCCUUGGAAAACAACAAGUGCCGACAACAAGCGCACUGACUUCGCUCUCGCUGCCUGAGCAGUGACCGAAGGGUCAACCCGGAGUUAGCCUUCGCUCCGGAUGUUGGCCUCGUCUAGAAGGCUUGCUGGCUGUCCUGCGUCACAGGGGACAGUCGGGACUCAACUGUGACUGGGCCCGGCUGCAACUUGCUGGUGUGAGUGCAGGGGCCGAGCAGACCGCCCAACCAGCUGCGCCCGGAGAAGUCCUGGUUCACCCUUCGAGGACGCGGGUUCGAUUCCCGCCACCUCCACCC